GGCACUUUGGCCGAGUGGUCUAAGGCGCCGUGUUCAGGAGUUCGAUUGUCUCGCACAAUCGCCCCUCUUCGCGGUCUAGUAAUAGGCGAGGGUUCGAAUCCCUCAGGUGUCA
RNAcentral lists this transfer RNA (112 nucleotides) under Claviceps africana. It matches the Rfam family "tRNA". Rfam says of the family: Transfer RNA (tRNA) molecules are approximately 80 nucleotides in length. The record is from Rfam by way of RNAcentral. Lineage: Eukaryota; Fungi; Ascomycota; Sordariomycetes; Hypocreales; Clavicipitaceae.